This 303-nucleotide long non-coding RNA is filed under the name Apteryx owenii (little spotted kiwi). RNAcentral's name for it is "lncRNA (ENSAOWG00000000651.1)". Lineage: Eukaryota; Metazoa; Chordata; Aves; Apterygiformes; Apterygidae. The record is from RNAcentral.
CCCCACUUACAAAACAGCUCGCUCCUGAUUUGGCUGGUGCCUCUGGGUGGUACUGCGAUGCACACCGACAAAGAAGGAACAGAAGGGACCAUCUGUAGGGUGGUGCAAAAUGUAGUCAGAAGUCACAACACAGAAAGAGGAGGAGGAGGAAGAGAGAGAAAGAGAAAACUAAAAACCCUGAAGGAUGGUUCUCAAAAAUCCUAAAGGAACCACAGGGAAUUCCUUUUGAGCGCCACAGCGAGCCAGCCAGCUGAGGCUUCCUUCAGAGAUUUCAAGUUGCUUUGAAGUAGGAAUCGCGACCAC